RNAcentral lists this ribosomal RNA (450 nucleotides) under uncultured bacterium. RNAcentral describes it as "partial 16S ribosomal RNA". It matches the Rfam family "Bacterial small subunit ribosomal RNA", at positions 338 to 795 of the family's 1533-position model. The record is from RNAcentral.
CCUACGGGAGGCUGCAGUAAGGAAUAUUGGACAAUGGUGGCAACACUGAUCCAGCCAUGCCGCGUGCAGGAUGACUGCCCUAUGGGUUGUAAACUGCUUUUAUUUGGGAAAAAACCUCUGUACGUGUACGGAGCUGAUGGUACCAAAUGAAUAAGCAUCGGCUAACUUCGUGCCAGCAGCCGCGGUAAUACGAAGGAUGCAAGCGUUAUCCGGAUUUAUUGGGUUUAAGGGGGGCGUAGAAGGCCGAGGUGAAAUCCCAGAGCUUAACUAUGGAAUUGCCUUUGAUACUAUUAGUCUUGAGUAAGGUUGAGGUUGGCGGAAUGUGCAGUGUAGCGGUGAAAUGCUUAGAUAUUGCACAGAACACCUAUUGCGAAGGCAGCUAACGAAGCCAAAACUGACGCUGAGGCACGAAAGCGUGGGGAUCAAACAGGAUUAGAUACCCUGGUAGUC